UGCGGGGUGGAGCAGUUCGGUAGCUCGUCGGGCUCAUAACCCGAAGGUCGCAGGUUCAAAUCCUGCCCCCGCUACCA
Molecule: transfer RNA, 77 nt
Filed under: Gammaproteobacteria bacterium
Lineage: Bacteria; Pseudomonadati; Pseudomonadota; Gammaproteobacteria
Also listed under: 2 other names
Description: tRNA-Met
Rfam family: tRNA
About the family: Transfer RNA (tRNA) molecules are approximately 80 nucleotides in length.
Source: RNAcentral